CCUACGGGUGGCAGCAGUGAGGAAUAUUGGUCAAUGGACGCAAGUCUGAACCAGCCAUGCCGCGUGCAGGAUGACUGCUCUAUGAGUUGUAAACUGCUUUUGUACGAGGGUAAACGCAGAUACGCGUAUCUGUCUGCAAGUAUCUUACGAAUAAGGAUCGGCUAACUCCGUGCCAGCAGCCGCGGUAAUACGGAGGAUUCAAGCGUUAUCCGGAUUUAUUGGGUUUAAAGGGUGCGUAGGUGGGUUGUUAAGUCAGUUGUCAAAUUUGGGGGCUCAACCCCAUCCUCGCAUUUAAAACUGGCGGUCUUGAGUGGAAGAGAGGUAUGCGGAAUGCGUGGUGUAGCGGUGAAAUGCAUAGAUAUCACGAAGAACCCCGAUUGCGAAGGCAGCAUGCCGGCUUGCGACUGACGUUGAAGCACGAAAGUGUGGGGAUCGAACAGGAUUAGAUACCCCAGUAGUC
Molecule: ribosomal RNA, 460 nt
Filed under: uncultured bacterium
Lineage: Bacteria
Description: partial 16S ribosomal RNA
Rfam family: Bacterial small subunit ribosomal RNA
Source: RNAcentral